CUCUCUCCCCCCUUCUCUGUAAACAGCAGCGAUCAACAAUCCUCUAACCAUUUCCGUGCCUUUCGUGACAAAUUGGAUUACUGAUAUAAUCCAAUUAUAGUGUUAUAUGUGUUUCUAUAUAUGUAAAUCUAUAUAUAUAUAUGUGGGUGUGGGUGUGUGUGUUUGAUUGUUUGCGUGUAUACAGAGUCAUAGACACACUACAAGACUGAUGGUGGUUGAUUUAUCGUGCCAUUUGAGUGUUGGAGUUUCUCAUCACAUCCGCUCAUUUUCCAUGACAUCUUUUCUGGCAACCUCUCCUAAUAUUUCUGAGAAAUUAAUGGUUAUGUGAAGGCUUGGGAUGAAAAGAAGGUCGAGUUGGGAACUCCGUCACAAAAAUGUUUCCUUCCCUUUCUCAUCGGCAUGCCAAACUGGUAAAUUUUGAUUCGACUUAUUCCCCAUUAAAUAUUUAAUCUUAUUUAUAUUGUAUCUUUUUUGGAGGCUCGAGAAGGGAUUCAUCAGCUCCAAAUAUUCAAAUUUGGGCCAGCGGUUAGCAAAUUGUUUAUAGCCUUCUCACCAUGGCUUUAGUUUGGUGAGGUGGAUAUUGAGGGUUCAUUGGUUGCUAGUAUUAUUUUAAACAAGAUAGAUUUGGUGACUGAGGCUGAAUUGGAGGUGUUGACAAAGCGAAUUCAGUUAGGCUUUCACCUUGUACAUAGAUAGAUUUUACUUGUAUCUUUGAAAUGUGGUUACUCAUUGAAUUGGGAGGGUUAGAGGUGUUUUUAGACUGUUCCAAGAGAAACUGAACUUGUAUGAAUGUGGAAAGUGGUAAAACGGUUGUUGGCAUUUUUAUAUCUAUUUGAUUCCGGCAUAAUGAUCGAUUCUUUGAAGUUUAGGCACUUCUUCGGUUAGUUCAGCUGUGGGUUUUGCUGUUGCCUUUUGACAAGCCAAAUUU
Long non-coding RNA from Cornus florida, 928 nucleotides. RefSeq lists it as uncharacterized. Lineage: Eukaryota; Viridiplantae; Streptophyta; Magnoliopsida; Cornales; Cornaceae. The transcript has 4 exons. The record is from RefSeq and is a predicted model, not a curated record.